CUGUCUCUUGUUUCAGCCGUGUUUGGACGGAACAC
Myotis brandtii (Brandt's bat) is the source of this 35-nucleotide non-coding RNA. The record is from Rfam. Lineage: Eukaryota; Metazoa; Chordata; Mammalia; Chiroptera; Vespertilionidae.